Molecule: non-coding RNA, 20942 nt
Organism: Xyrichtys novacula (pearly razorfish)
Lineage: Eukaryota; Metazoa; Chordata; Actinopteri; Labriformes; Labridae
Source: the annotation of a GenBank genome assembly
GUUGAACUUGAGUUUGUGGUGUUUGUUGAACUCCAGCUUGUGUUAUGUUUGAACUUGAGGUUGUGGUAUUUUUGAACCUGAGUUUGUGUGUUUUUUUAACUUGAGUUUGUGGCGUGUUUGAACUUGAGAUUGUGGCGUGUUUGAACUUGAGUUUGUGGUGGUUUUUGAACUUGAGGUUGUGAAAAUUGUUAAAACUUGAGAAUCAGGUGUUGGUUGAACUUGAGUUUGUGGUUUUUGUUGAACUUGAUUUUGUGCUUUGUUUGAACUUUAGUUUAUGUUUUUUUUGUACUUGCGUUUGUGUUGUUUUUGAACUUGAGGUUUUGGAAAUUGUAAAAACUUGAGAAUCAUGAGUUUGUGGUUUUUGUUGAACUUGAGUUUGUGUGUUGUUGAACUCAAGAUUUUGUGUUUGUUGAACUUCAAUUUUUGUCGUGUUUGAACUUGAGUUUGUGGUGUUUUUUGAACUUGAGGUUGUGUUGUUUUUGAACUUGAGGUUGUGGAAAUUGUAAAAACUUGAGAAUCAGGUGUUGGUUGAACUUGAGUUUGUGGUUUUUGUUGAACUUGAGUUUGUGUGUUUUUUUAAUUUGAGUUUGUUGUUUCUGAACUUGAGGUUGUGGCAAUUGUUGAACUUGAGAAUUGGGUAUUGGUUGAACUUGAGUUUGUGUGUUUGUUGAACUUGAGUUUGUGUCGUGUUUGAACUUCAGUUUGUGGUGUUUUUUGAACUUUAGGUUGUGGUGUUUUUGAACUUGAGUUUUUGGUAUUUUUGAACUUGAGGUUGUGGCAAUUGUUGAACUUGAGUUUGUGACGUGUUUGAACUUGAUUUUGUGGUGUUAUUGAACUCGAGUUUGUGGUGUUUGUUGAACUUGAGUUUGUGUCGUAUUUGAACUUGAGGUUGUGGUGUUGUUGAACUCGAGUUUUUGUGUUUGUUGUACUUGAGUUUGUGUUGUUUUUGAACUUGAGUUUGUGGUGUUGGUUGAACUUGAAGUUGUGGUGUUUUUGAACUUGAGUUUGUGGCGGUUUUUGAACUUGAGGUUGUGGCAAUUGUUGAACUUGAGUUUGUGACGUGUUUGAACUUGAUUUGCUGGUGUUUUUGAAUUCGAAUUUGUGGUGUUUUUGAACUUGAGUUUGUGGUGUUUGUUGAACUUGAGAAUUGGGUAUUGGUUGAACUUGAGUUUUUGUGUUUGUUGAACUUGAGUUUGUGUCGUGUUUGAACUUGAGUUUGUGGUGUUUUUUGAACUUGAGGUUGUGGUGUUUUUGAACUUGAGGUUGUGGCAAUUGUUGAACUUGAGUUUGUGACGUGUUUGUACUUGAUUUUAUGGUGUUUUUGAACUUGAGUUUGUGUUGUUUUUGAACUUGAGUUUGUGGUGUUUGUUGAACUUGAGUUUGUGUCGUGUUUGAACUUGAGGUUGUGGUGUUUUUGAACUCGAGUUUUUGUCUUUGUUGAACUUCAGUUUGUGUCGUGUUUGAACUUGAGUUUGUGGUGUUUUUUGAACUUGAGGUUGUGGUGUUUUUGAACUUGAGUUUUUGGCGGUUUUUGAACUUGAGGUUGUUGCAAUUGUUGAACUUGAAAAUUGGGUAUUGGUUGAACUUGAGUUUGUGUGUUUGUUGAACUUGAGUUUGUGUCGUGUUUGAACUUCAGUUUGUAGUGUUUUUUGAACUUGAGGUUGUGGUGUUUUUGAACUUGAGUUUGUGGCGGUUUUUGAACUUGAGGUAGUGGAAAUUGUUGAACUUGAGUUUGUGACGUGUUUGAACUUGAGUUUGUGUUGUGUUUGAACUUGAGUUUGUGUUUUUUUAUCUUGAGUUUGUUGUUUCUGAACUUGAGGUUGUGGCAAUUGUUGAACUUGAGUCUGUUGUUUUUAGUGAACUUUAUUUGGUGGCAAUUGUUGAACUUGAGUUUGUGGCAUUUGUUGAACUUGAGUUUGUGACGUGUUUGAACUUGAGUUUGUGUUAUUUUUGAACUUCAGGUUGUGGAAAUUGUUAAACUUGAGAAUUGGGAAUUGGUUGAGCUUGAGGUUGUGGUGUUUUUGAACUUGAGUUUGUGGCGUGUUUGAACUUGAGGUUGUGGAAUUUGUUAAACUUGAGAUUUGGGUGUUGAUUGAACUUGAGUUUGUUUCGUGUUUGAUCUUGAGGUUGUGGUGUUUUUGGACUUGAGGUUGCUUGUUUGUUUAACUUGAGUUUGUGUGUUUUUUAACUUGAGUUUGUGGUUUUUUUUAACUUGAGGUUGUGGUUUUUUGAACUUCAGUUUGUGGAAAUUUUUAAACUUGAGGAUUGGGUGGUGGUUGAACUUGAGUUUGUGGUGUUUUUUGAACUUGAGGUUGUGGUGUUUUUGACUUGAGUUCGUGGCGUGUUUGAACUUGAGGUUGUUGCAAUUGUUAAACUUGAGAUUUGGGUGUUGAUUGAACUUUGCCAUUUGUUGAACUUGAGUUUGUGGUGUUUGUUGAACUCCAGCUUGUGUUGUGUUUGAACUUGAGGUUGUGGUAUUUUUGAACUUGAGUUUGUGGUGUUUUUUUGGACUUGAGUUUGUGGCGUGUUUGAACUUGAGAUUGUGGCGUGUUUGAACUUGAGUUUGUGGUGGUUUUUGAACUUGAGGUUGUGAAAAUUGUUAAAACUUGAGAAUCAGGUGUUGGUUGAACUUGAGUUUGGGUAUUGGUUGAACUUGAUUUUGUGCUUUGUUUGAACUUUAGUUUAUGGUUUUUUUUGUACUUGAGUUUGUGUUGUUUUUGAACUUGAGGUUGUGGAAAUUGUAAAAACAUGAGAAUCAGGUGUUGGUUGAACUUGAGUUUGUGGUUUUUGUUGAACUUGAGUUUGUGUCGUUUUUGAGCUUGAGGUUGUGGUGUUUUUGAACUUGAGUUUGUGUGUUUGUUGAACUUGAGUUUGUGUGUUUUUUUAACUUGAGUUUGUUGUUUCUGAAUUUGAGGUUGUGGCAAUUGUUGAACUUGAGUCUGUUGUUUUUAGUGAACUUUAGUUGGUGGCAUUUGUUGAACUUGAGUUUGUGACGUGUUUAAACAUGAUUUUGUGGUGUUUUUGAACUCGAGUUUGUGGUGUUUUUGAACUUGAGGUUGUUGAAAUUGUUAAACUUGAGAAUUGGGUAUUGGUUGAACUUGAGUUUGUGUGUUUGUUUAACUUGAGUUUGUGUCGUGUUUGGACUUCAGUUUGUGGUGUUUUUUGAACUUGAGGUUGUGGUGUUUUUGAACUUGAGUUUGUGGCGGUUUUUGAACUUGAGGUUGUGGCAAUUGUUGAACUUGAGUUUGUGACGUGUUUGAACUUGAUUUUGUGGUGUUUUUGAACUCGAGUUUGUGGUGUUUUUGAACUUGAGUUUGUGGUGUUUGUUGAACUUGAGUCUGUUGUUUUUAGUGAACUUUAGUUGGUGGCAAUUGUUGAACUUGAGUUUUUGGCAUUUGUUGAACUUGAGUUUGUGACGUGUUUAAACAUGAUUUUGUGGUGUUUUUGAACUCGAGUUUGUGGUAUUUUUGAACUUGAGGUUAUUGAAAUUGUUAAACUUGAGAAUUGGGUAUUGGUUGAACUUGAGUUUGUGUGUUUGUUGAACUUGAGUUUGUGUCGUGUUUGGACUUCAGUUUGUGGUGUUUUUUGAACUUGAGUUUGUGGCGGUUUUUGAACUUGAGGUUGUGGCAAUUGUUAAACUUGAGAAUUGGGAAUUGGUUGAGCUUGAGGUUGUGGUGUUUUUGAACUUGAGUUUGUGGCGUGUUUGAACUUGAGGUUGUGGAAAUUGUUAAACUUGAGAUUUGGGUGUUGAUUGAACUUGAGUUUGUUUCGUGUUUGAUCUUGAGGUUGUGGUGUUUUUUGACUUGAUGUUGCUUGUUUGUUUAACUUGAGUUUGUGUGUUUUUUGAACUUGAGUUUGUGGUUUUUUUUAACUUGAGGUUUUGGUUUUUGAACUUCAGUUUGUGGAAAUUUUUAAACUUGAGGAUUGGGUGGUGGUUGAACUUGAGUUUGUGGUGUUUUUUUGAACUUGAGGUUGUGGUGUUUUUGACUUGAGUUCGUGGCGUGUUUGAACUUGAGGUUGUUGCAAUUGUUAAACUUGAGAUUUGGGUGUUGGUUGAACUUAAAACUUUUCCAUUUUUUGAACUUGAGUUUGUGUUAUUUUUGAACUUGAGGUUGUGAAAAUUGUUAAAACUUGAGAAUCAGGUGUUGGUUGAACUUGAGUUUGUGGUUUUUGUUGAACUUGAUUUUGUGCUUUGUUUGAACUUUAGUUUAUGGGUUUUUUGUACUUGAGGUUGUGUUGUUUUUGAACUUGAGGUUGUGGAAAUUGUAAAAACUUGAGAAUAAGGUGUUGGUUGAACUUGAGUUUGUGGUUUUUGUUGAACUUGAGUUUGUGUAGUUUUUGAGCUUGAGGUUGUGGUGUUUUUGAACUUGAGUUUGCGUGUUUGUUGAACUUGAGUUUGUGUGUUUUUUUAACUUGAGUUUGUUGUUUCUGAACUUGAGGUUGUGGCAAUUGUUGAACUUGAGUCUGUUGUUUUUAGUGAACUUUAGUUGGUGGCAAUUGUUGAACUUGAGUUUGUGGCAUUUGUUGAACUUGAGUUUGUGACGUGUUUAAACAUGAUUUUGUGGUGUUUUUGAACUCGAGUUUGUGGUGUUUUUGAACUUGAGUUUGUGUAGUGUUUGAACUUCAGUUUGUGGUGUUUUUUGAGCUUGAGGUUGUGGUGUUUUUGAACUUGAGUUUGUGGCGUGUUUGAACUUGAGGUUGUGGAAAUUGUUAAACUUGAGAAUCAGGUGUUGGUUGAACUUGAGUUUGUGGUUUUUGUUGAACUUGAGUUUGUGUAGUUUUUGAGCUUGAGGUUGUGGUGUUUUUGAACUUGAGUUUGCGUGUUUGUUGAACUUGAGUUUGUGUGUUUUUUUAACUUGAGUUUGUUGUUUCUGAACUUGAGGUUGUGGCAAUUGUUGAACUUGAGUCUGUUGUUUUUAGUGAACUUUAGUUGGUGGCAAUUGUUGAACUUGAGUUUGUGGCAUUUGUUGAACUUGAGUUUGUGACGUGUUUAAACAUGAUUUUGUGGUGUUUUUGAACUCGAGUUUGUGGUGUUUUUGAACUUGAGUUUGUUGUUUCUGAACUUGAGGUUUUGGCAAUUGUUGAACUUGAGUCUGUGGUUUUUAGUGAACUUUAGUUGGUUGCAAUUGUUGAACAUGAGUUUAUGGCGUUUGUUGAACUUGAGUUUGUGACGUGUUUGAACUUGAGUUUGUGUUAUUUUUGAACUUGAGGUUGUGGCAAUUUCUAAAAUUGAGAUUUGGGUGUUGGUUGAACUUAAAAGUUUGACAUUCGUUGAACUUCAGUUUGUGGUUUUUGUUGAACUUGAGUUUGUGUGGUGUUUGAACUUGAGUUUGUGGGUUUUUUUAACUUGAGGUUGUGGUUUUUUGAACUUCAGUUUGUGGAAAUUUUUAAACUUGAGGAUUGGGUGAACUUGAGUUUGUGACGUGUUUAAACAUGAUUUUGUGGUGUUUUUGAACUCGAGUUUGUGGUGUUUUUGAACUUGAGGUUGUUGAAAUUGUUAAACUUGAGAAUUGGGUAUUGGUUGAACUUGAGUUUGUGUGUUUGUUUAACUUGAGUUUGUGUCGUGUUUGGACUUCAGUUUGUGGUGUUUUUUGAACUUGAGGUUGUGGUGUUUUUGAACUUGAGUUUGUGGCGGUUUUUGAACUUGAGGUUGUGGCAAUUGUUAAACUUGAGUUUGUGACGUGUUUGAACUUGAUUUUGUGGUGUUUUUGAACUCGAGUUUGUGGUGUUUUUGAACUUGAGUUUGUGGUGUUUGUUGAACUUGAGUCUGUUGUUUUUAGUGAACUUUAGUUGGUGGCAAUUGUUGAACUUGAGUUUUUGGCAUUUGUUGAACUUGAGUUUGUGACGUGUUUAAACAUGAUUUUGUGGUGUUUUUGAACUCGAGUUUGUGGUAUUUUUGAACUUGAGGUUGUGGAAAUUGUUAAACUUGAGAAUUGGGUAUUUGUUGAACUUGAGUUUGUGUGUUUGUUGAACUUGAGUUUGUGUCGUGUUUGGACUUCAGUUUGUGGUGUUUUUGAACUUGAGUUUGUGGCGGUUUUUGAACUUGAGGUUGUGGCAAUUGUUGAACUUGAGUUUGUGACGUGUUUGAACUUGAUUUUGUGGUGUUUUUGAACUCGAGUUUGUGGUGUUUUUGAACUUGAGGUUAUUGAAAUUGUUAAACUUGAGAAUUGGGUAUUGGUUGAACUUGAGUUUGUGUGUUUGUUGAACUUGAGUUUGUGUCGUGUUUGGACUUCAGUUUGUGGUGUUUUUUGAACUUGAGUUUGUGGCGGUUUUUGAACUUGAGGUUGUGGCAAUUGUUAAACUUGAGAAUUGGGAAUUGGUUGAGCUUGAGGUUGUGGUGUUUUUGAACUUGAGUUUGUGGCGUGUUUGAACUUGAGGUUGUGGAAAUUGUUAAACUUGAGAUUUGGGUGUUGAUUGAACUUGAGUUUGUUUCGUGUUUGAUCUUGAGGUUGUGGUGUUUUUUGACUUGAUGUUGCUUGUUUGUUUAACUUGAGUUUGUGUGUUUUUUGAACUUGAGUUUGUGGUUUUUUUAACUUGAGGUUUUGGUUUUUGAACUUCAGUUUGUGGAAAUUUUUAAACUUGAGGAUUGGGUGGUGGUUGAACUUGAGUUUGUGGUGUUUUUUUGAACUUGAGGUUGUGGUGUUUUUGACUUGAGUUCGUGGCGUGUUUGAACUUGAGGUUGUUGCAAUUGUUAAACUUGAGAUUUGGGUGUUGGUUGAACUUAAAACUUUUCCAUUUUUUGAACUUGAGUUUGUGUUAUUUUUGAACUUGAGUUUGUGAAAAUUGUUAAAACUUGAGAAUCAGGUGUUGGUUGAACUUGAGUUUGUGGUUUUUGUUGAACUUGAUUUUGUGCUUUGUUUGAACUUUAGUUUAUGGGUUUUUUGUACUUGAGGUUGUGUUGUUUUUGAACUUGAGGUUGUGGAAAUUGUAAAAACUUGAGAAUAAGGUGUUGGUUGAACUUGAGUUUGUGGUUUUUGUUGAACUUGAGUUUGUGUAGUUUUUGAGCUUGAGGUUGUGGUGUUUUUGAACUUGAGGUUGCUUGUUUGUUGAACUUGAGUUUGUGUGUUUUUUUAACUUGAGUUUGUUGUUUCUGAACUUGAGGUUGUGGCAAUUGUUGAACUUGAGUCUGUUGUUUUUAGUGAACUUUAGUUGGUGGCAAUUGUUGAACUUGAGUUUGUGGCAUUUGUUGAACUUGAGUUUGUGACGUGUUUAAACAUGAUUUUGUGGUGUUUUUGAACUCGAGUUUGUGGUGUUUUUGAACUUGAGUUUGUGUAGUGUUUGAACUUCAGUUUGUGGUGUUUUUUGAGCUUGAGGUUGUGGUGUUUUUGAACUUGAGUUUGUGGCGUGUUUGAACUUGAGGUUGUGGAAAUUGUUAAACUUGAGAAUCAGGUGUUGGUUGAACUUGAGUUUGUUUCGUGUUUGAUCUUGAGUUUGUGGUGUUUUUGAACUUGAGGUUGCUUGUUUGUUUAACUUGAGUUUGUGUGUUUUUUUAACUUGAGUUUGUUGUUUCUGAACUUGAGGUUUUGGCAAUUGUUGAACUUGAGUCUGUGGUUUUUAGUGAACUUUAGUUGGUUGCAAUUGUUGAACAUGAGUUUAUGGCGUUUGUUGAACUUGAGUUUGUGACGUGUUUGAACUUGAGUUUGUGUUAUUUUUGAACUUGAGGUUGUGGCAAUUUCUAAAAUUGAGAUUUGGGUGUUGGUUGAACUUGAGUUUGUGGUGUUUUUUGAACUUGAGGCUGUGGUGUUUUUGACUUGAGUUCGUGGCGUGUUUGAACUUGAGGUUGUUGCAAUUGUUAAACUUGAGAUUUGGGUGUUGAUUGAACUUUGCCAUUUGUUGAACUUGAGUUUGUGGUGUUUGUUGAACUCCAGCUUGUGUUGUGUUUGAACUUGAGGUUGUGGUAUUUUUGAACUUGAGUUUGUGGUGUUUUUUUGGACUUGGGUUUGUGGCGUGUUUGAACUUGAGAUUGUGGCGUGUUUGAACUUGAGUUUGUGGUGGUUUUUGAACUUGAGGUUGUGAAAAUUGUUAAAACUUGAGAAUCAGGUGUUGGUUGAACUUGAGUUUGGGUAUUGGUUGAACUUGAUUUUGUGCUUUGUUUGAACUUUAGUUUAUGGUUUUUUUUGUACUUGAGUUUGUGUUGUUUUUGAACUUGAGGUUGUGGAAAUUGUAAAAACAUGAGAAUCAGGUGUUGGUUGAACUUGAGUUUGUGGUUUUUGUUGAACUUGAGUUUGUGUCGUUUUUGAGCUUGAGGUUGUGGUGUUUUUGAACUUGAGUUUGUGUGUUUGUUGAACUUGAGUUUGUGUGUUUUUUUAACUUGAGUUUGUUGUUUCUGAAUUUGAGGUUGUGGCAAUUGUUGAACUUGAGUCUGUUGUUUUUAGUGAACUUUAGUUGGUGGCAUUUGUUGAACUUGAGUUUGUGACUUCUUAAACAUGAUUUUGUGGUGUUUUUGAACUCGAGUUUGUGGUGUUUUUGAACUUGAGGUUGUUGAAAUUGUUAAACUUGAGAAUUGGGUAUUGGUUGAACUUGAGUUUGUGUGUUUGUUUAACUUGAGUUUGUGUCGUGUUUGGACUUCAGUUUGUGGUGUUUUUUGAACUUGAGGUUGUGGUGUUUUUGAACUUGAGUUUGUGGCGGUUUUUGAACUUGAGGUUGUGGCAAUUGUUGAACUUGAGUUUGUGACGUGUUUGAACUUGAUUUUGUGGUGUUUUUGAACUCGAGUUUGUGGUGUUUUUGAACUUGAGUUUGUGGUGUUUGUUGAACUUGAGUCUGUUGUUUUUAGUGAACUUUAGUUGGUGGCAAUUGUUGAACUUGAGUUUUUGGCAUUUGUUGAACUUGAGUUUGUGACGUGUUUAAACAUGAUUUUGUGGUGUUUUUGAACUCGAGUUUGUGGUAUUUUUGAACUUGAGGUUAUUGAAAUUGUUAAACUUGAGAAUUGGGUAUUGGUUGAACUUGAGUUUGUGUGUUUGUUGAACUUGAGUUUGUGUCGUGUUUGGACUUCAGUUUGUGGUGUUUUUUGAACUUGAGUUUGUGGCGGUUUUUGAACUUGAGGUUGUGGCAAUUGUUAAACUUGAGAAUUGGGAAUUGGUUGAGCUUGAGGUUGUGGUGUUUUUGAACUUGAGUUUGUGGCGUGUUUGAACUUGAGGUUGUGGAAAUUGUUAAACUUGAGAUUUGGGUGUUGAUUGAACUUGAGUUUGUUUCGUGUUUGAUCUUGAGGUUGUGGUGUUUUUUGACUUGAUGUUGCUUGUUUGUUUAACUUGAGUUUGUGUGUUUUUUGAACUUGAGUUUGUGGUUUUUUUUAACUUGAGGUUUUGGUUUUUGAACUUCAGUUUGUGGAAAUUUUUAAACUUGAGGAUUGGGUGGUGGUUGAACUUGAGUUUGUGGUGUUUUUUUGAACUUGAGGUUGUGGUGUUUUUGACUUGAGUUCGUGGCGUGUUUGAACUUGAGGUUGUUGCAAUUGUUAAACUUGAGAUUUGGGUGUUGGUUGAACUUAAAACUUUUCCAUUUUUUGAACUUGAGUUUGUGUUAUUUUUGAACUUGAGGUUGUGAAAAUUGUUAAAACUUGAGAAUCAGGUGUUGGUUGAACUUGAGUUUGUGGUUUUUGUUGAACUUGAUUUUGUGCUUUGUUUGAACUUUAGUUUAUGGGUUUUUUGAACUUGAGGUUGUGUUGUUUUUGAACUUGAGGUUGUGGAAAUUGUAAAAACUUGAGAAUAAGGUGUUGGUUGAACUUGAGUUUGUGGUUUUUGUUGAACUUGAGUUUGUGUAGUUUUUGAGCUUGAGGUUGUGGUGUUUUUGAACUUGAGUUUGCGUGUUUGUUGAACUUGAGUUUGUGUGUUUUUUUAACUUGAGUUUGUUGUUUCUGAACUUGAGGUUGUGGCAAUUGUUGAACUUGAGUCUGUUGUUUUUAGUGAACUUUAGUUGGUGGCAAUUGUUGAACUUGAGUUUGUGGCAUUUGUUGAACUUGAGUUUGUGACGUGUUUAAACAUGAUUUUGUGGUGUUUUUGAACUCGAGUUUGUGGUGUUUUUGAACUUGAGUUUGUGUAGUGUUUGAACUUCAGUUUGUGGUGUUUUUUGAGCUUGAGGUUGUGGUGUUUUUGAACUUGAGUUUGUGGCGUGUUUGAACUUGAGGUUGUGGAAAUUGUUAAACUUGAGAAUUAGGUGUUGGUUGAACUUGAGUUUGUUUCGUGUUUGAUCUUGAGUUUGUGGUGUUUUUGAACUUGAGGUUGCUUGUUUGUUUAACUUGAGUUUGUGUGUUUUUUUAACUUGAGUUUGUUGUUUCUGAACUUGAGGUUGUGGCAAUUGUUGAACUUGAGUCUGUUGUUUUUAGUGAACUUUAUUUGGUGGCAAUUGUUGAACUUGAGUUUGUGGCAUUUGUUGAACUUGAGUUUGUGACGUGUUUGAACUUGAGUUUGUGGUGUUUUUGAACUUGAGUUUGUGGUGUUUUUGAACUUGAGUUUGUGUCGUGUUUGAACUUGAGUUUGUGGUGUUUUUUGAGCUUGAGGUUGUGGUGUUUUUGAACUUGAGUUUGUGGCGUGUUUGAACUUGAGGUUGUGGAAAUUGUUAAACUUGAGAAUCAGGUGUUGGUUGAACUUGAGUUUGUUUCGUGUUUGAUCUUGAGUUUGUGGUGUUUUUGAACUUGAGGUUGCUUGUUUGUUUAACUUGAGUUUGUGUGUUUUUUUAACUUGAGUUUGUUGUUUCUGAACUUGAGGUUUUGGCAAUUGUUGAACUUGAGUCUGUGGUUUUUAGUGAACUUUAGUUGGUUGCAAUUGUUGAACAUGAGUUUAUGGCGUUUGUUGAACUUGAGUUUGUGACGUGUUUGAACUUGAGUUUGUGUUAUUUUUGAACUUGAGGUUGUGGCAAUUUCUAAAAUUGAGAUUUGGGUGUUGGUUGAACUUAAAAGUUUGACAUUCGUUGAACUUCAGUUUGUGGUUUUUGUUGAACUUGAGUUUGUGUGGUGUUUGAACUUGAGUUUGUGGGUUUUUUAACUUGAGGUUGUGGUUUUUUGAACUUCAGUUUGUGGAAAUUUUUAAACUUGAGGAUUGGGUGGUGGUUGAACUUGAGUUUGUGGUGUUUUUUGAACUUGAGGUUGUGGUGUUUUUGACUUGAGUUCGUGGCGUGUUUGAACUUGAGGUUGUUGCAAUUGUUAAACUUGAGAUUUGGGUGUUGAUUGAACUUUGCCAUUUGUUGAACUUGAGUUUGUGGUGUUUGUUGAACUCCAGCUUGUGUUGUGUUUGAACUUGAGGUUGUGGUAUUUUUGAACUUGAGUUUGUGGUGUUUUUUGGACUUGAGUUUGUGGCGUGUUUGAACUUGAGAUUGUGGCGUGUUUGAACUUGAGUUUGUGGUGGUUUUUGAACUUGAGGUUGUGAAAAUUGUUAAAACUUGAGAAUCAGGUGUUGGUUGAACUUGAGUUUGGGUAUUGGUUGAACUUGAUUUUGUGCUUUGUUUGAACUUUAGUUUAUGGUUUUUUUUGUACUUGAGUUUGUGUUGUUUUUGAACUUGAGGUUGUGGAAAUUGUAAAAACAUGAGAAUCAGGUGUUGGUUGAACUUGAGUUUGUGGUUUUUGUUGAACUUGAGUUUGUGUCGUUUUUGAGCUUGAGGUUGUGGUGUUUUUGAACUUGAGUUUGUGUGUUUGUUGAACUUGAGUUUGUGUGUUUUUUUAACUUGAGUUUGUUGUUUCUGAAUUUGAGGUUGUGGCAAUUGUUGAACUUGAGUCUGUUGUUUUUAGUGAACUUUAGUUGGUGGCAUUUGUUGAACUUGAGUUUGUGACGUGUUUAAACAUGAUUUUGUGGUGUUUUUGAACUCGAGUUUGUGGUGUUUUUGAACUUGAGGUUGUUGAAAUUGUUAAACUUGAGAAUUGGGUAUUGGUUGAACUUGAGUUUGUGUGUUUGUUGAACUUGAGUUUGUGUCGUGUUUGAACUUUAGUUUGUGGUGUUUUUUGAACUUGAGGUUGUGGUGUUUUUGAACUUGAGUUUGUGGCGGUUUUUGAACUUGAGGUUGUGGCAAUUGUUGAACUUGAGUUUGUGACGUGUUUGAACUUGAUUUUGUGGUGUUUUUGAACUUGAGUUUGUGGUGUUUUUGAACUUGAGUUUGUGGUGUUUGUUGAACUUGAGUCUGUUGUUUUUAGUGAACUUUAGUUGGUGGCAAUUGUUGAACUUGAGUUUUUGGCAUUUGUUGAACUUGAGUUUGUGACGUGUUUAAACAUGAUUUUGUGGUGUUUUUGAACUCGAGUUUGUGGUAUUUUUGAACUUGAGGUUAUUGAAAUUGUUAAACUUGAGAAUUGGGUAUUGGUUGAACUUGAGUUUGUGUGUUUGUUGAACUUGAGUUUGUGUCGUGUUUGGACUUCAGUUUGUGGUGUUUUUUGAACUUGAGUUUGUGGCGGUUUUUGAACUUGAGGUUGUGGCAAUUGUUAAACUUGAGAAUUGGGAAUUGGUUGAGCUUGAGUUUGUGUUAUUUUUGAACUUGAGUUUGUGGCGUGUUUGAACUUGAGGUUGUGGAAAUUGUUAAACUUGAGAUUUGGGUGUUGAUUGAACUUGAGUUUGUUUCGUGUUUGAUCUUGAGGUUGUGGUGUUUUUUGACUUGAUGUUGCUUGUUUGUUUAACUUGAGUUUGUGUGUUUUUUGAACUUGAGUUUGUGGUUUUUUUUAACUUGAGGUUUUGGUUUUUGAACUUCAGUUUGUGGAAAUUUUUAAACUUGAGGAUUGGGUGGUGGUUGAACUUGAGUUUGUGGUGUUUUUUUGAACUUGAGGUUGUGGUGUUUUUGACUUGAGUUCGUGGCGUGUUUGAACUUGAGGUUGUUGAAAUUGUUAAACUUGAGAUUUGGGUGUUGGUUGAACUUAAAACUUUUCCAUUUUUUGAACUUGAGUUUGUGUUAUUUUUGAACUUGAGGUUGUGAAAAUUGUUAAAACUUGAGAAUCAGGUGUUGGUUGAACUUGAGUUUGUGGUUUUUGUUGAACUUGAUUUUGUGCUUUGUUUGAACUUUAGUUUAUGGGUUUUUUGUACUUGAGGUUGUGUUGUUUUUGAACUUGAGGUUGUGGAAAUUGUAAAAACUUGAGAAUAAGGUGUUGGUUGAACUUGAGUUUGUGGUUUUUGUUGAACUUGAGUUUGUGUAGUUUUUGAGCUUGAGGUUGUGGUGUUUUUGAACUUGAGUUUGCGUGUUUGUUGAACUUGAGUUUGUGUGUUUUUUUAACUUGAGUUUGUUGUUUCUGAAUUUGAGGUUGUGGCAAUUGUUGAACUUGAGUCUGUUGUUUUUAGUGAACUUUAGUUGGUGGCAUUUGUUGAACUUGAGUUUGUGACGUGUUUAAACAUGAUUUUGUGGUGUUUUUGAACUCGAGUUUGUGGUGUUUUUGAACUUGAGGUUGUGGAAUUUGUUAAACUUGAGAAUUUGGUAUUGGUUGAUCUUGAGUUUGUGGUUUUUUUUGAACUUGAGUUUGUUUCGUGUUUGAACUUGAGGUUGUGGUUUUUUGAACUUGAGGUUGUGGUGUUUUUGAACUUGAGUUUGUGGCGGUUUUUGAACUUGAGGUUGUGGCAAUUGUUGAACUUGAGUUUGUGACGUGUUUGAACUUGAUUUUGUGGUGUUUUUGAACUCGAGUUUGUGGUGUUUUUGAACUUGAGUUUGUGGUGUUUGUUGAACUUGAGUCUGUUGUUUUUAGUGAACUUUAGUUGGUGGCAAUUGUUGAACUUGAGUUUUUGGCAUUUGUUGAACUUGAGUUUGUGACGUGUUUAAACAUGAUUUUGUGGUGUUUUUGAACUCGAGUUUGUGGUAUUUUUGAACUUGAGGUUAUUGAAAUUGUUAAACUUGAGAAUUGGGUAUUGGUUGAACUUGAGUUUGUGUGUUUGUUGAACUUGAGUUUGUGUCGUGUUUGGACUUCAGUUUGUGGUGUUUUUUGAACUUGAGUUUGUGGCGGUUUUUGAACUUGAGGUUGUGGCAAUUGUUAAACUUGAGAAUUGGGAAUUGGUUGAGCUUGAGGUUGUGGUGUUUUUGAACUUGAGUUUGUGGCGUGUUUGAACUUGAGGUUGUGGAAAUUGUUAAACUUGAGAUUUGGGUGUUGAUUGAACUUGAGUUUGUUUCGUUUUGAUCUUGAGGUUGUGGUGUUUUUUGACUUGAUGUUGCUUGUUUGUUUAACUUGAGUUUGUGUGUUUUUUGAACUUGAGUUUGUGGUUUUUUUAACUUGAGGUUUUGGUUUUUGAACUUCAGUUUGUGGAAAUUUUUAAACUUGAGGAUUGGGUGGUGGUUGAACUUGAGUUUGUGGUGUUUUUGAACUUGAGGUUGUGGUGUUUUUGACUUGAGUUCGUGGCGUGUUUGAACUUGAGGUUGUUGCAAUUGUUAAACUUGAGAUUUGGGUGUUGGUUGAACUUAAAACUUUUCCAUUUUUUGAACUUGAGUUUGUGUUAUUUUUGAACUUGAGGUUGUGAAAAUUGUUAAAACUUGAGAAUCAGGUGUUGGUUGAACUUGAGUUUGUGGUUUUUGUUGAACUUGAUUUUGUGCUUUGUUUGAACUUUAGUUUAUGGGUUUUUUGUACUUGAGGUUGUGUUGUUUUUGAACUUGAGGUUGUGGAAAUUGUAAAAACUUGAGAAUAAGGUGUUGGUUGAACUUGAGUUUGUGGUUUUUGUUGAACUUGAGUUUGUGUAGUUUUUGAGCUUGAGGUUGUGGUGUUUUUGAACUUGAGUUUGCGUGUUUGUUGAACUUGAGUUUGUGUGUUUUUUUAACUUGAGUUUGUUGUUUCUGAACUUGAGGUUGUGGCAAUUGUUGAACUUGAGUCUGUUGUUUUUAGUGAACUUUAGUUGGUGGCAAUUGUUGAACUUGAGUUUGUGGCAUUUGUUGAACUUGAGUUUGUGACGUGUUUAAACAUGAUUUUGUGGUGUUUUUGAACUCGAGUUUGUGGUGUUUUUGAACUUGAGUUUGUGUAGUGUUUGAACUUCAGUUUGUGGUGUUUUUUGAGCUUGAGGUUGUGGUGUUUUUGAACUUGAGUUUGUGGCGUGUUUGAACUUGAGGUUGUGGAAAUUGUUAAACUUGAGAAUCAGGUGUUGGUUGAACUUGAGUUUGUUUCGUGUUUGAUCUUGAGUUUGUGGUGUUUUUGAACUUGAGGUUGCUUGUUUGUUUAACUUGAGUUUGUGUGUUUUUUUAACUUGAGUUUGUUGUUUCUGAACUUGAGGUUUUGGCAAUUGUUGAACUUGAGUCUGUGGUUUUUAGUGAACUUUAGUUGGUUGCAAUUGUUGAACAUGAGUUUAUGGCGUUUGUUGAACUUGAGUUUGUGACGUGUUUGAACUUGAGUUUGUGUUAUUUUUGAACUUGAGGUUGUGGCAAUUUCUAAAAUUGAGAUUUGGGUGUUGGUUGAACUUAAAAGUUUGACAUUCGUUGAACUUCAGUUUGUGGUUUUUGUUGAACUUGAGUUUGUGUGGUGUUUGAACUUGAGUUUGUGGGUUUUUUAACUUGAGGUUGUGGUUUUUUGAACUUCAGUUUGUGGAAAUUUUUAAACUUGAGGAUUGGGUGGUGGUUGAACUUGAGUUUGUGGUGUUUUUUGAACUUGAGGUUGUGGUGUUUUUGACUUGAGUUCGUGGCGUGUUUGAACUUGAGGUUGUUGCAAUUGUUAAACUUGAGAUUUGGGUGUUGAUUGAACUUUGCCAUUUGUUGAACUUGAGUUUGUGGUGUUUGUUGAACUCCAGCUUGUGUUGUGUUUGAACUUGAGGUUGUGGUAUUUUUGAACUUGAGUUUGUGGUGUUUUUUUGGACUUGAGUUUGUGGCGUGUUUGAACUUGAGAUUGUGGCGUGUUUGAACUUGAGUUUGUGGUGGUUUUUGAACUUGAGGUUGUGAAAAUUGUUAAAACUUGAGAAUCAGGUGUUGGUUGAACUUGAGUUUGGGUAUUGGUUGAACUUGAUUUUGUGCUUUGUUUGAACUUUAGUUUAUGGUUUUUUUUGUACUUGAGUUUGUGUUGUUUUUGAACUUGAGGUUGUGGAAAUUGUAAAAACAUGAGAAUCAGGUGUUGGUUGAACUUGAGUUUGUGGUUUUUGUUGAACUUGAGUUUGUGUCGUUUUUGAGCUUGAGGUUGUGGUGUUUUUGAACUUGAGUUUGUGUGUUUGUUGAACUUGAGUUUGUGUGUUUUUUUAACUUGAGUUUGUUGUUUCUGAAUUUGAGGUUGUGGCAAUUGUUGAACUUGAGUCUGUUGUUUUUAGUGAACUUUAGUUGGUGGCAUUUGUUGAACUUGAGUUUGUGACGUGUUUAAACAUGAUUUUGUGGUGUUUUUGAACUCGAGUUUGUGGUGUUUUUGAACUUGAGGUUGUUGAAAUUGUUAAACUUGAGAAUUGGGUAUUGGUUGAACUUGAGUUUGUGUGUUUGUUUAACUUGAGUUUGUGUCGUGUUUGGACUUCAGUUUGUGGUGUUUUUUGAACUUGAGGUUGUGGUGUUUUUGAACUUGAGUUUGUGGCGGUUUUUGAACUUGAGGUUGUGGCAAUUGUUGAACUUGAGUUUGUGACGUGUUUGAACUUGAUUUUGUGGUGUUUUUGAACUCGAGUUUGUGGUGUUUUUGAACUUGAGUUUGUGGUGUUUGUUGAACUUGAGUCUGUUGUUUUUAGUGAACUUUAGUUGGUGGCAAUUGUUGAACUUGAGUUUUUGGCAUUUGUUGAACUUGAGUUUGUGACGUGUUUAAACAUGAUUUUGUGGUGUUUUUGAACUCGAGUUUGUGGUAUUUUUGAACUUGAGGUUAUUGAAAUUGUUAAACUUGAGAAUUGGGUAUUGGUUGAACUUGAGUUUGUGUGUUUGUUGAACUUGAGUUUGUGUCGUGUUUGGACUUCAGUUUGUGGUGUUUUUUGAACUUGAGUUUGUGGCGGUUUUUGAACUUGAGGUUGUGGCAAUUGUUAAACUUGAGAAUUGGGAAUUGGUUGAGCUUGAGGUUGUGGUGUUUUUGAACUUGAGUUUGUGGCGUGUUUGAACUUGAGGUUGUGGAAAUUGUUAAACUUGAGAUUUGGGUGUUGAUUGAACUUGAGUUUGUUUCGUGUUUGAUCUUGAGGUUGUGGUGUUUUUUGACUUGAUGUUGCUUGUUUGUUUAACUUGAGUUUGUGUGUUUUUUGAACUUGAGUUUGUGGUUUUUUUUAACUUGAGGUUUUGGUUUUUGAACUUCAGUUUGUGGAAAUUUUUAAACUUGAGGAUUGGGUGGUGGUUGAACUUGAGUUUGUGGUGUUUUUUUGAACUUGAGGUUGUGGUGUUUUUGACUUGAGUUCGUGGCGUGUUUGAACUUGAGGUUGUUGCAAUUGUUAAACUUGAGAUUUGGGUGUUGGUUGAACUUAAAACUUUUCCAUUUUUUGAACUUGAGUUUGUGUUAUUUUUGAACUUGAGGUUGUGAAAAUUGUUAAAACUUGAGAAUCAGGUGUUGGUUGAACUUGAGUUUGUGGUUUUUGUUGAACUUGAUUUUGUGCUUUGUUUGAACUUUAGUUUAUGGGUUUUUUGUACUUGAGGUUGUGUUGUUUUUGAACUUGAGGUUGUGGAAAUUGUAAAAACUUGAGAAUAAGGUGUUGGUUGAACUUGAGUUUGUGGUUUUUGUUGAACUUGAGUUUGUGUAGUUUUUGAGCUUGAGGUUGUGGUGUUUUUGAACUUGAGUUUGCGUGUUUGUUGAACUUGAGUUUGUGUGUUUUUUUAACUUGAGUUUGUUGUUUCUGAACUUGAGGUUGUGGCAAUUGUUGAACUUGAGUCUGUUGUUUUUAGUGAACUUUAGUUGGUGGCAAUUGUUGAACUUGAGUUUGUGGCAUUUGUUGAACUUGAGUUUGUGACGUGUUUAAACAUGAUUUUGUGGUGUUUUUGAACUCGAGUUUGUGGUGUUUUUGAACUUGAGUUUGUGUAGUGUUUGAACUUCAGUUUGUGGUGUUUUUUGAACUUGAGUUUGUGGUGUUUUUGAACUUGAGUUUGUGGCGUGUUUGAACUUGAGGUUGUGGAAAUUGUUAAACUUGAGAAUCAGGUGUUGGUUGAACUUGAGUUUGUUUCGUGUUUGAUCUUGAGUUUGUGGUGUUUUUGAACUUGAGGUUGCUUGUUUGUUUAACUUGAGUUUGUGUGUUUUUUUAACUUGAGUUUGUUGUUUCUGAACUUGAGGUUGUGGCAAUUGUUGAACUUGAGUCUGUUGUUUUUAGUGAACUUUAGUUGGUGGCAAUUGUUGAACUUGAGUUUGUGGCAUUUGUUGAACUUGAGUUUGUGACGUGUUUAAACAUGAUUUUGUGGUGUUUUUGAACUCGAGUUUGUGGUGUUUUUGAACUUGAGUUUGUGUAGUGUUUGAACUUCAGUUUGUGGUGUUUUUUGAGCUUGAGGUUGUGGUGUUUUUGAACUUGAGUUUGUGGCGUGUUUGAACUUGAGGUUGUGGAAAUUGUUAAACUUGAGAAUCAGGUGUUGGUUGAACUUGAGUUUGUUUCGUGUUUGAUCUUGAGUUUGUGGUGUUUUUGAACUUGAGGUUGCUUGUUUGUUUAACUUGAGUUUGUGUGUUUUUUUAACUUGAGUUUGUUGUUUCUGAACUUGAGGUUUUGGCAAUUGUUGAACUUGAGUCUGUGGUUUUUAGUGAACUUUAGUUGGUUGCAAUUGUUGAACAUGAGUUUAUGGCGUUUGUUGAACUUGAGUUUGUGACGUGUUUGAACUUGAGUUUGUGUUAUUUUUGAACUUGAGGUUGUGGCAAUUUCUAAAAUUGAGAUUUGGGUGUUGGUUGAACUUAAAAGUUUGACAUUCGUUGAACUUCAGUUUGUGGUUUUUGUUGAACUUGAGUUUGUGUGGUGUUUGAACUUGAGUUUGUGGGUUUUUUAACUUGAGGUUGUGGUUUUUUGAACUUCAGUUUGUGGAAAUUUUUAAACUUGAGGAUUGGGUGGUGGUUGAACUUGAGUUUGUGGUGUUUUUUGAACUUGAGGUUGUGGUGUUUUUGACUUGAGUUCGUGGCGUGUUUGAACUUGAGGUUGUUGCAAUUGUUAAACUUGAGAUUUGGGUGUUGAUUGAACUUUGCCAUUUGUUGAACUUGAGUUUGUGGUGUUUGUUGAACUCCAGCUUGUGUUGUGUUUGAACUUGAGGUUGUGGUAUUUUUGAACUUGAGUUUGUGGUGUUUUUUUGGACUUGAGUUUGUGGCGUGUUUGAACUUGAGAUUGUGGCGUGUUUGAACUUGAGUUUGUGGUGGUUUUUGAACUUGAGGUUGUGAAAAUUGUUAAAACUUGAGAAUCAGGUGUUGGUUGAACUUGAGUUUGGGUAUUGGUUGAACUUGAUUUUGUGCUUUGUUUGAACUUUAGUUUAUGGUUUUUUUUGUACUUGAGUUUGUGUUGUUUUUGAACUUGAGGUUGUGGAAAUUGUAAAAACAUGAGAAUCAGGUGUUGGUUGAACUUGAGUUUGUGGUUUUUGUUGAACUUGAGUUUGUGUCGUUUUUGAGCUUGAGGUUGUGGUGUUUUUGAACUUGAGUUUGUGUGUUUGUUGAACUUGAGUUUGUGUGUUUUUUUAAUUUGAGUUUGUUGUUUCUGAAUUUGAGGUUGUGGCAAUUGUUGAACUUGAGUCUGUUGUUUUUAGUGAACUUUAGUUGGUGGCAUUUGUUGAACUUGAGUUUGUGACGUGUUUAAACAUGAUUUUGUGGUGUUUUUGAACUCGAGUUUGUGGUGUUUUUGAACUUGAGGUUGUUGAAAUUGUUAAACUUGAGAAUUGGGUAUUGGUUGAACUUGAGUUUGUGUGUUUGUUUAACUUGAGUUUGUGUCGUGUUUGGACUUCAGUUUGUGGUGUUUUUUGAACUUGAGGUUGUGGUGUUUUUGAACUUGAGUUUGUGGCGGUUUUUGAACUUGAGGUUGUGGCAAUUGUUGAACUUGAGUUUGUGACGUGUUUGAACUUGAUUUUGUGGUGUUUUUGAACUCGAGUUUGUGGUGUUUUUGAACUUGAGUUUGUGGUGUUUGUUGAACUUGAGUCUGUUGUUUUUAGUGAACUUUAGUUGGUGGCAAUUGUUGAACUUGAGUUUUUGGCAUUUGUUGAACUUGAGUUUGUGACGUGUUUAAACAUGAUUUUGUGGUGUUUUUGAACUCGAGUUUGUGGUAUUUUUGAACUUGAGGUUAUUGAAAUUGUUAAACUUGAGAAUUGGGUAUUGGUUGAACUUGAGUUUGUGUGUUUGUUGAACUUGAGUUUGUGUCGUGUUUGGACUUCAGUUUGUGGUGUUUUUUGAACUUGAGUUUGUGGCGGUUUUUGAACUUGAGGUUGUGGCAAUUGUUAAACUUGAGAAUUGGGAAUUGGUUGAGCUUGAGGUUGUGGUGUUUUUGAACUUGAGUUUGUGGCGUGUUUGAACUUGAGGUUGUGGAAAUUGUUAAACUUGAGAUUUGGGUGUUGAUUGAACUUGAGUUUGUUUCGUGUUUGAUCUUGAGGUUGUGGUGUUUUUUGACUUGAUGUUGCUUGUUUGUUUAACUUGAGUUUGUGUGUUUUUUGAACUUGAGUUUGUGGUUUUUUUUAACUUGAGGUUUUGGUUUUUGAACUUCAGUUUGUGGAAAUUUUUAAACUUGAGGAUUGGGUGGUGGUUGAACUUGAGUUUGUGGUGUUUUUUUGAACUUGAGGUUGUGGUGUUUUUGACUUGAGUUCGUGGCGUGUUUGAACUUGAGGUUGUUGCAAUUGUUAAACUUGAGAUUUGGGUGUUGGUUGAACUUAAAACUUUUCCAUUUUUUGAACUUGAGUUUGUGUUAUUUUUGAACUUGAGGUUGUGAAAAUUGUUAAAACUUGAGAAUCAGGUGUUGGUUGAACUUGAGUUUGUGGUUUUUGUUGAACUUGAUUUUGUGCUUUGUUUGAACUUUAGUUUAUGGGUUUUUUGUACUUGAGGUUGUGUUGUUUUUGAACUUGAGGUUGUGGAAAUUGUAAAAACUUGAGAAUAAGGUGUUGGUUGAACUUGAGUUUGUGGUUUUUGUUGAACUUGAGUUUGUGUAGUUUUUGAGCUUGAGGUUGUGGUGUUUUUGAACUUGAGUUUGCGUGUUUGUUGAACU